Molecule: ribosomal RNA, 195 nt
Filed under: uncultured Acinetobacter sp.
Lineage: Bacteria; Pseudomonadati; Pseudomonadota; Gammaproteobacteria; Moraxellales; Moraxellaceae
Description: partial 16S ribosomal RNA
Rfam family: Bacterial small subunit ribosomal RNA
Source: RNAcentral
CCUACGGGAGGCAGCAGUGGGGAAUAUUGGACAAUGGGGGGAACCCUGAUCCAGCCAUGCCGCGUGUGUGAAGAAGGCCUUUUGGUUGUAAAGCACUUUAAGCGAGGAGGAGGCUAACCUGGUUAAUACCCAGGCUUAGUGGACGUUACUCGCAGAAUAAGCACCGGCUAACUCUGUGCCAGCAGCCGCGGUAAU